UAACAAUGUAUUUUAUUAAGAAUACUGGGUUUGCGUCUCGGAGGUGGGAGUUUCCCUUUGUUAU
RNAcentral lists this transfer RNA (64 nucleotides) under Dibothriocephalus nihonkaiensis. RNAcentral's name for it is "tRNA-Ala". Lineage: Eukaryota; Metazoa; Platyhelminthes; Cestoda; Diphyllobothriidea; Diphyllobothriidae. The record is from RNAcentral.